GGCAAAACACAGUAAGUGAAGGCGGGGACACAGAGAUAUGUAAGUGGAACACUGAAGCAGGCUUUUGUUCUGAAGGUGCUUGCCUAACUAGGUGAAUUUGAGAUUUUUGUGAAUGUCUCAUGGGAAAAGGGAACACCCCAGAACAACCUCAAUAAGAGGAAUUUAGCAGGAGUUUCUCCUUCCAUAAAGGUGGGAUUCAAAGGACUACAUUCUCAUGAUAAGAGUAAUCCAGAAAUCCAGAAAUAAACUUGUCCCCUUCUCCCUUGAGUGUACGGUUAAUGGAGAUAGAUCCUGGGAUCAGCUAAUUACAAAGACGUUUUUCACAUAGUACAUCCAGCAGGUCAUCCAAAAGUCUUGUGAAACGCAAGAGAAUUCUUGGUUAUAAGGAAUCAUCCCUUGAAUUGCAACACUCUAGAAUUCCUGACCAAAUUCCAGUAGCAUGUCUUUUUAAUUGAGAAAGACAAAAACUCAAAUUUCCAAAAUGUCCCCAUGUAAACCAUUGGCCCAUUCUAUACUGUCAAGUUGACAGGGACCAAUUUCUGAAAGACUUUAAUAGAUUUUACCUCAAGGGCAGGAGGGAAAACAUUGAAAACUAUAAGCAGAGAAGUACCAUGACCAUUUUGUACUCUAAAAAAAUCCCUCUGACUGCAUGAAGAAUGGAUUAGAUGGAGCCAACAUGGAGGAAGGAAUGCUGGGUGUGAGGCAGCUGUGGAAGUCCAAAGGAGAGAUGACAGUAAUCUGUACUGACAAGGGGCACUAGGUUUUAGAGGCAGAGCUGCCUUUCGGCUGAGCUGGAGGAAACUUAGUUCUUUCCACUAUUUAGUUUUCUCUUGCUGAGGUGAGACCUUGGGCAAGUUAUUCCAAUCUCUGCCAGCCUUAGGGUCCUCAUCCACAAAAUGAAGAUAAUACUAAACGGAAUGUGUCCCAAGUAUGUACACACAUGGACAGUUUGCAGUUUUCUUAGCCAUGAUCAAGAGGUUAUUAGCAGUAGAGAUG
RNAcentral lists this long non-coding RNA (996 nucleotides) under Marmota monax (woodchuck). Lineage: Eukaryota; Metazoa; Chordata; Mammalia; Rodentia; Sciuridae. The record is from RNAcentral.